GCCGAUGUAGCUCAGGUAGCAGAGCGCUCCCAUGGUAAGGGAAAGGUCGCCAGUGCAAAUCUGGCCAUCGGCU
RNAcentral lists this transfer RNA (73 nucleotides) under Patescibacteria group bacterium. Its description in RNAcentral is "tRNA-Thr". The record is from RNAcentral.